Molecule: small RNA, 72 nt
Filed under: Salmonella enterica subsp. enterica serovar Infantis
Lineage: Bacteria; Pseudomonadati; Pseudomonadota; Gammaproteobacteria; Enterobacterales; Enterobacteriaceae
Also listed under: 18 other names
Description: partial RtT sRNA
Rfam family: RtT RNA
About the family: This family represents a bacterial cis-regulatory element known as RtT RNA. The exact function of RtT is unknown although it is thought that it may be involved in changing the cellular response in relation to amino acid starvation.
Source: RNAcentral
GUGAAGGAUAACGUUGCGUCAGCAACGGCCCGUAGGGCGAGGCGAAGCCGAGUCAUCCUGCACGACCCACCA